This 253-nucleotide ribosomal RNA is filed under the name uncultured bacterium. RNAcentral describes it as "partial 16S ribosomal RNA". It matches the Rfam family "Bacterial small subunit ribosomal RNA", at positions 524 to 776 of the family's 1533-position model. The record is from RNAcentral.
UACGUAGGGGGCAAGCGUUGUCCGGAUUUAUUGGGCGUAAAGCGCUCGCAGGUGGUUCGUUGCGUCGUGCGUGAAAGACCCCGGCUCAACUGGGGGAUGUCGUGCGAUACGGGCGGACUGGAGGCCAGUAGGGGGAUGCGGAAUUCCGGGUGUAGUGGUGGAAUGCGUAGAGAUCCGGAGGAACACCAAAGGCGAAGGCAGUGUCCUGGGGAGUACCUGACGCUCAGGUGCGAAAGCCAGGGGAGCGAACGGG